RNAcentral lists this long non-coding RNA (2166 nucleotides) under Phasianus colchicus (ring-necked pheasant). RNAcentral describes it as "lncRNA (ENSPCLG00000006026.1)". The record is from RNAcentral. Lineage: Eukaryota; Metazoa; Chordata; Aves; Galliformes; Phasianidae.
GUGGAUUGAUGAGCUCCUGAGCCAAAGACAUCCCAGGUCUGAGCAAGGCAAGAGCUCCAUCCCUGUUGCGUCAGGCCGAAUGGAAGCCAACACUUGCCAUGAAGUAAGAAAAUUUGUUUCAUGCCAUGGAAUGUUGAUACUAAAUGGAAGGAGGGGAAGAAAAGAGCACACAUCUGCAUGUUGGAAAAGGAGCGGUUAGCUACCUUCUUGCAUGUGCUGGCUCUCUUUGAACACCUCCAUCGCCACCUAAGAGACAAUGUGGAGAGGUGCUUUGUCCACUGCAAUCUGUUCCUGCAUGGGAUGACACUUGGAUGACUGGAGCAUGCUGGAGCCAGGUGAAUGAUGCACAGGGCUUCCCAGGCUUGGAGCUGUUGCCAGCUGUUGGGCUGCUGCUCUUGGAUUCACAGAAUCAUAAUCACAGAAACACAGAAUGGCCAGGGUUGGAAGGGACCUCAAGGAUCAUGAAUCUCCAACCCCCUGCCACAUGCGGGGCCACCAAUCUCCCCAUCUCAUACCAGACCAGGCUGCCCAGGAUUCCUGUACCUGCACCUGCCUGGUUGCUCCUGAGCAGAGAUGUGCCUUGCUCAGGGAGCAGGUGAUGUCAGCUCAAGGCAAAGUACAACAGGGUGGAAACAACAAAAAAUGAGCUGAGAGAAUGUUGUACUCGCACAGGCAGAUCUCUUAACACUCCAGAAUUAGUGACAGGCUGAGACCUAUGCUGUGCAGGAAGGAUGCAGGAAGAGGCCAUCUGUGGAAGCAGUGGGACACUUGUCAUCCCAGCGAGGCAGCAAGACAGAAUCUUCUUCCAGCAAAAGCCAGCAAACAGACGGAGCUUGCUUCCAUCUGCCAACCUCAGUCUGAAUCAAGCAGAAAGAGACAGAAAUCCCAUAGGACAUCUCAUCUUCCUAGAAGCCAACAUAGAGAAAGCAAGCCUCAGUCCUGAGCAGAAGAUAAGGAGCAGAAUGACCUUGCAUCUUCCAUCCAUACACCUGAGGUUAACAGUCAAGGAACCUGAGGCCAGGGGAGAGAAAGUGUUCUGUGCAAGGAGUGGAAGAGAGCUAUCAGCAGCAGUGCCUUUCCCAGCACACCGCCAUCGGCCCGGUGAUGGAUGGAGCUCCUCCCGUGUCCCAGCAGGCAUGACAAUAACUGUCACCAACUGCAAGUAAAACUGAAGCAAUUAAUACUGAGGGCACAGCCAUCCUUCACUCACUCUCGUGCAGUUGGCUCCCCUGUAAACAGUAAGAAUUUUAAUUUCUUGCUUGGCUUAGGUUGGGCUUGGUUGUACGUAAGAUAAUCCUAGUGCAGAGCUGCAGGACCUCCUUGGGACAAAGCUUAACCACUGGGACACCCAGCCCUUAAGGGGAAGCUGGAGGCUUCUCCUGAGCUAUUCCUGCAACAAGCUGAAAACGUUGGUGUUAUUUAUGAUGUCUAGAUGGGGCGUGGAACUUCAUUUAUUGUCAUGCAAAAAAUACGCAUCAACAGGCUCGAUGCAAAUCCCCAGCACUCCAAUAGCUGCUCGAGGACCAGUGCACUUCAGCAAGCCUAAUCCAAAGGGGAACACGCUGUGAGGGAAGGGGACUGCAGCUUAGGAGCAAAGCUGGGAUAGGUGAGAUCAACCUGGAGCAAAAAGAACAGCGAGAGCCGUGCUGCCUGCACAAGGCUGGAUCCCUCUCCCCACCUAUUGUGUCGAGAACUAGAAGUCUAUCACCUCAGCCUAAUGGAGCAUCAUCAGCUCACCUCAAUGAGGCACUUAAUCGAAAGAGCAUUUAUACCACUUGGAUUGCCAGCCGCACUUUAUGACAGCUCUUUGCACAAGAGAUGUCAUUGUGCAUUUACUUCUUUGUUAGACUAGAUUGGAGUUAUCAGCGGUUGAGUAAACCCUGCCAUUCGCAGGAACACCCUGCAUACGUUUGCAGGACAGAGAGGAACAGAAGAGGAAAAAGGACGGGCUGAUAGAGGCAGGCGUGACUUGAACAACAAGGAGGAAAACAACAAAGCGCGACAAGAUUUUGAGGCGUACCGUCAGCUGAUGGCAACGCUCAGGGUGUGAAAAAUAAGUAAUUGACAGCAGUUAGCAUGCAGGACAGAGCAGAGUUCUUAACGCAGUGAGAUUUUCUGUGCAGCUCUCUGAUUUCGGUCCUUGUUCCUGCCCGUCGCUCAGGUAAC